AUGUGGCACUUUUCGGAUUUUGAGAUUUAAACAAGUCUAACUUUGACUGUAAAUUUUUCAUAGAUCUUUUAAACAUUUUGAAUUAUCAAUAUUUGUGAAUUAUAGUACUUUUUACGUAGUUUACAAAUAUACAAAUUUUAUUUCAAAAAAAAUUGAUCAUUUCAUGCGUAAAUUUCUAGCCAAACUUAAACUGUUUGACUCUCGAAAAAUGAAAAGUGCCACAUAA
Molecule: non-coding RNA, 226 nt
Organism: Solanum tuberosum (potato)
Lineage: Eukaryota; Viridiplantae; Streptophyta; Magnoliopsida; Solanales; Solanaceae
Source: Rfam